AGCGGCGAACUGGUGAGUAACAGGUGGGUAACGUUCCUCGAAGCGGGGGAUAACCCGGGGAAACUCGGGCUAAUACCGCAUACGGCCGCACUGACCCCGGUCAGUGUCGCCAAAGACUUCGGUCACUUCGAGAUCGGCCCGCCCCCGAUUAGCUAGUUGGUAGGGUAACGGCCUACCAAGGCGACGAUCGGUAGCUGGUCUGAGAGGAUGGUCAGCCACACUGGGACUGAGAUACGGCCCAGACUCCUACGGGGGGCAGCAGUCUAGAGGCUUCGGCAAUGGGGGCAACCCUGACCGAGCGACGCCGCGUGUGGGAUUGAAGGCCUUCGGGUCGUAAACCACUGUCAGGAGGGAAGAAUGCCCCGAUGGUGAAUCGGGGAGGGACGGUACCUCCGGAGGAAGCCCCGGCAAACUCCGUGCCAGCAGCCGCGGUAAUACGGAGGGGGCAAGCGUUGUUCGGAUUUACUGGGCGUAAAGGGUCCGUAGGCGGUUGCGUAAGUCUGGUGUGAAAUCUCCGCCGCUUAACGGGGAGAAGCCACUGGAAACUGCGUAACUCGAGUAUGGCAGAGGCAAGCGGAAUUCCUGGUGUAGCGGUGGAAUGUGUAGAUAUCAGGAAGAACACCUGUGGCGAAGGCGGCUUGCUGGGCCAUCACUGACGCUGAGNNGCGAAAGCGUGGGGAGCAAACAGGAUUAGAUACCCUGGUAGUCC
Molecule: ribosomal RNA, 709 nt
Filed under: uncultured bacterium
Lineage: Bacteria
Description: bacterial SSU rRNA
Rfam family: Bacterial small subunit ribosomal RNA
Source: RNAcentral